This 396-nucleotide ribosomal RNA is filed under the name uncultured bacterium. Its description in RNAcentral is "bacterial SSU rRNA". It matches the Rfam family "Bacterial small subunit ribosomal RNA", at positions 362 to 775 of the family's 1533-position model. The record is from RNAcentral.
UAUUGCACAAUGGGCGGAAGCCUGAUGCAGCGACGCCGCGUGAGUGAAGAAGUAUCUCGGUAUGUAAAGCUCUAUCAGCAGGGAAGAAAAUGACGGUACCUGACUAAGAAGCCCCGGCUAACUACGUGCCAGCAGCCGCGGUAAUACGUAGGGGGCAAGCGUUAUCCGGAUUUACUGGGUGUAAAGGGAGCGUAGACGGUUAUGCAAGUCUGGAGUGAAAGCCCGGGGCUCAACCCCGGGACUGCGUUGGAAACUGUAAAACUGGAGUGCAGGAGAGGCAGGCGGAAUUCCUAGUGUAGCGGUGAAAUGCGUAGAUAUUAGGAGGAACACCAGUGGCGAAGGCGGCCUGCUGGACUGUAACUGACACUGAUGCUCGAAAGUGUGGGUAUCAAACAG